UAGAGUUUUGAUCCUGGCGUCAGGAUGAACGCUGGCGGCGUGCUUAACACAUGCAAGUCGAACGGACCCAUAUUGAAACCUAGUGAUAUAUGGGUUAGUGGGCGGACGGGUGAGUAACGCGUGGGUAACCUGCCUUACACAGGGGGAUAACACUUAGAAAUAGGUGCUAAAACCGCAUAAGCGCACAGCUUCGCAUGAAGCGGUGUGAAAAACUCCGGUGGUGUAAGAUGGACCCGCGUCUGAUUAGCUUGUUGGCGGGGUAACGGCCCACCAAGGCGACGAUCAGUAGCCGGCCUGAGAGGGCGGACGGCCACAUUGGGACUGAGACACGGCCCAGACUCCUACGGGAGGCAGCAGUGGGAAUAUUGCACAAUGGGGGAAACCCUGAUGCAGCGACGCCGCGUGAGUGAAGAAGUAAUUCGUUACGUAAAGCUCUAUCAGCAGGGAAGAAAUACUGACCUUACGGUCAGCAGACGGUACCUGAGUAAGAAGCCCCGGCUAACUACGUG
Molecule: ribosomal RNA, 509 nt
Filed under: uncultured Eubacteriales bacterium
Lineage: Bacteria; Bacillati; Bacillota; Clostridia; Eubacteriales
Description: bacterial SSU rRNA
Rfam family: Bacterial small subunit ribosomal RNA
Source: RNAcentral